UACGGGAAGGCAGCAGUGGGGAAUAUUGCACAAUGGGCGCAAGCCUGAUGCAGCCAUGCCGCGUGUAUGAAGAAGGCCUUCGGGUUGUAAAGUACUUUCAGUCGUGAGGAAGGUGUUAAGGUUAAUAACCUUAGCAAUUGACGUUAGCGACAGAAGAAGCACCGGCUAACUCCGUGCCAGCAGCCGCGGUAAUACGGAGGGUGCGAGCGUUAAUCGGAAUUACUGGGCGUAAAGGGCACGCAGGCGGUUAAUUAAGUUGGAUGUGAAAUCCCCGGGCUUAACCUGGGAAUGGCAUUCAAGACUGGUUAGCUAGAGUCUUGUAGAGGGGGUAGAAUUCCAUGUGUAGCGGUGAAAUGCGUAGAGAUGUGGAGGAAUACCGGUGGCGAAGGCGGCCCCUGGACAAAGACUGACGCUCAUGUGCGAAAGCGUGGGGAGCAAACAGGGAUUAGAUACC
RNAcentral lists this ribosomal RNA (454 nucleotides) under uncultured bacterium. RNAcentral's name for it is "bacterial SSU rRNA". It matches the Rfam family "Bacterial small subunit ribosomal RNA", at positions 340 to 786 of the family's 1533-position model. The record is from RNAcentral.